GGAUAUAAAGACGAUGUGGCUAUGACAUCUGUAUCCCCAGUGACCAACCAGGAUUGAUUCGACUGAUCUGGCUGGCUAGGCGGGUGUCCCUUCCUCCCUCACUCUGUGUGCAUCCCUCUUGAAGCUGUGUGCUCAAACAGGACGACCUUCCCCUCCAGAGACGGACCAGUCUUCAGCCGAGGGGAACCUGGACUGAGUUCUCAACUCGCAGUCUUGGCACCCCCAAGCUGUUGUG
This 235-nucleotide small nuclear RNA is filed under the name Ochotona princeps (American pika). Its description in RNAcentral is "7SK RNA (ENSOPRG00000020795.1)". The stretch from base 1 to 189 matches the Rfam family "7SK RNA". Rfam says of the family: 7SK was discovered as an abundant small nuclear RNA in the mid-70s but a possible function has only recently been suggested. Two independent studies have found that 7SK RNA binds the CDK9/cyclin T complex (known as elongation factor P-TEFb). P-TEFb activates transcription by phosphorylating the C-terminal domain of RNA polymerase II. Lineage: Eukaryota; Metazoa; Chordata; Mammalia; Lagomorpha; Ochotonidae. The record is from RNAcentral.